This 2653-nucleotide long non-coding RNA is filed under the name Homo sapiens (human). RNAcentral's name for it is "HSALNT0299487". Lineage: Eukaryota; Metazoa; Chordata; Mammalia; Primates; Hominidae. The record is from RNAcentral.
AGAAAACGCAACAGUCAGCCUGUUCCAAGAUUCUGGGCAGGCUGUGUGGUGUGAUCCAUAGGACUUGGGCUGCUGUGGAGUGAAGAAUACAAUGACUGCCAAUUCACCUUGGUGCUGUGAUCUUGAUUCCUGCAAACAUACCAGCAGUUUUACCCACCAUCGCUUUUGUACUAUCAGUACAGAGGCCAGUACAGUGGAAAAGGAAAUCUGGUGCUCUUAACCCUCCUGGUAACCAAAGGGGUAUGAGGAUGAAUGAUGCUUGGCUGGUGUGUGCUGCUGUGUGGCAUGCCAGAACAGGGACUGCAGUAUCAGCAUUCACAGACACUGGAGGCUGGCACAGAAAUUGACAAGCUGAUCCUAAAAAUCACAUGAAAAUGUAAAGAAUCCAGCAAUCUCUUGGAAAAGAAGCCAAAACAAUAUUGGAGAAGAAAAACAAAGUUGGAAAACUCACACUUCCUGAUAUCAUAACAGUUUUGCUCUUGUUGCCCAGGCUGAAGUGCAAUGGUGUGAUCUCGGCUCACCGCAACCUCUGCCUCCCAGGUUCAAGCAAUUCUCCUGCCUCAACCUCCAAGAGUAGCUGGGAUUACAGGCACGCGCCACCACACCCAGCUAAUUUUGUAUUUUUAGUAGGGACGGGGUUUCUUCAUGUUGGUCAGGCUGGUCUUGAACUCCCAACCUCAGGUGAUCCGCCACCUCGGCCUCCCAAAGUGCUGGGAUUAUAGGCAUGAGCCACCGCGCCCGGCCAGAACUUCAUCUUUAAAGUCCCAAUGAGCUGUGCAUUGCAAGGGUACUCUCCCUAGGUUGAACUCUGGGGGUGUCAAGGAGAGUGGGUGAAGGAAUGAAUGCUCACAGCCUAUCAGACCCAACCUGUUAUUAAGUCUUCAUUCUAAGGGGCUUUUAAAGGAGUGAAGAAACUGCUGUGACUUGUGCCAAAUUCUCAAAACCUUUUGACCUCAAGUCAGAGGUAUUUUUACCGUUAUGCAGACGUCGGGCUCUUGAAUGCAGCCCCAUUGCCCAAGUUCGAUUGAUCCAGUAUCUCACAAUGUUUUGCUACUAACCAAUGAGCCUUGAGGAAACUUGCUUGUUUUCCCUACUGGUAAUUGAAAAUACUAUUAUCGUGUGAAGCAACAUGGAUAUAUUAUGAAAUAGAGUGCAAAAAUUGUGAAUUUUGAAGACAGAACACUUAAAUUGCAGUAAGCCAUUUUAGUCUAAACUGACUCUAGACCUGUUAAGGUCAUUUCCUCUUGGCUUGAAAAUAUAUUUUUGGUAAAACUAUUUGACAAGCAGUGUCCUAAUUCAAUAACCUACCAUCCCUAGCUUGACACUGUAGCUGAAGCUGAGUGUUAUCGUGUGUUAGCAAGACGUUAAGCUCCUGUACACUAAUUCCUGAAAACGCCAUUGUAUUUUUGGAACCGCACUGUGUUUUUGCUUGAUUUAACUUGAUGUUCUUUCUCAGUGAGUAAUUUUUACGGUUCCUGUUAAAAAAAAAUACCAAGUUGUCUCAUUUGCUGUGGCCAUUUGAUUGUAGUUCCUGAUGUAAUCUCUAGCACAAAGGUCCCAUUGAAGAGUUUAUUUUGGUUUCUAUAUGUGGGUCAAUCACAUAAUGCAGUUUACUGUGUGAAUUUUGAAGAAUUCCAAUCCUUCUAAUAGUGCUUGGAAAUAUGAGUACAAAUAUUGGGCUUUAAUGCAUUGAAAGGUGUUGUAGGAGGCAAACAACAUAGAAAUUAGGGUUUUGACACAUUUUUCAAGGAAGGGGCUUGAAGGAGGAGGUGUAGUGGCAGGCAUCUCUGGAGAACACCACUGACUAAAAUAAAAAAAAAAAUUUUCUCCAAGUUUCCCAUCUGUUACAUACUGGAUUUUUCCUGUAAAUAUCAAGUUUAAUGAAACAUACAUCCUGAAUACAUUGAAGGGGAAAUAACAAUCACCAGCUCCUGCCUGGUUAAAUGUUGACUCUAAUAAAUGAGUUGCCUGCACAGCUGUUCAAUUUUAUAAUUUCUCAUGGUGGCUAGUUCCUCAUUUCCAUCUUUGAAAUGCUUUUUAAAAAUCCUGGAAAGAACAUUUAGUUUUUAAAUUGAGGAAGAUUAGUGAUAAUCUCAUUAGCAAUCUGGAUGGUAAUUUUCAUUUAGUGGGUGCCUUCUCUAUGAAUCUUGGGAAAUUCUGAGAAUUCAUUGUUGCUAAACUUUUUGCUAAAAAUAUCCUUCCUAAAUGGAAAAGUCUGUGUCAUGCAUGCUAGUGUGAAUGUGGGCUCGUGAAGGAACUGGCAGCCUAGAUAGAUACCCUGAGAGUGAUGAGGUGGUGUGUAUCAGUCAGUGUUUACCACAGUAAUGCUGCAUAACAAACCACCCCCAAAGUCUGGACCAUACAAUGAAAGCAUUUAUUUCUGGCUUGUGUAUAUAUGAGUCAGCUUGUCUGGGCUCAGCUAGAUUUGGCUGCAGGCCUUGAGUUCAAUUUAGAUCUGUUUCAAGCAUCUUAUUUUUCUGAGUCAAGUAGGCAACUCUGCAAGGCAUGUUCUUCUCACGUUAAUGUCAGGGUGCAAGAGGACAAGCCUAAUCAUGCCAGUGCAUUAUAUCAUACCCCACUGGCCAAAGCAGACAUGUGGCUAAACCCAAAGAUUAGCCAAAUUCUGCCUAUAGUGGGAGGAACUGCAAAAGCC